UCUCUCUCUCUCUCUCUCUCUCUCUCUCUCUCUCUCUCUCUCUCUCUCUCUGCGCAUGUGCGAGUGUGGAUGAGCGAGUUGAGCGUGGCUGUGGGAGCGAGUGUGCAGGUCACUGCUGGCAGCUGCUGUAUUGGGACUCACAGUGAAUCUUGAAGUCCUUGUACUGCCUGUCUUCAAUGGCCACCACAUAAAGAGCAGCCCUGUCUGGGAACAUCAGACCUCCAGGUUUCUGAAGAUGAAGAACACAGAAUGACCGUGUUCAACAUGGACUCAUAAAAAAGGCAGUAGCCCAUCCAUUCUGAGAUGAUAAUGUCCACCUGAUCUACCGGCAGCUCAGUUUCUUCCACUUUCCCUUUAAAGAUGGUUAUAACUGGAACACACAGACAAAUAAGGCCAUGGAGAUGCUUGACAGAUCCUUUCUACUCUUUGAAUUUUUAAGUUUUCGACUGUCCCCAACACACCUUCACAGCACACCUCAUACUAAAAGACUCGACGAGCUGCUGACUUCUCCAAGUGAUGCUCCAUGACGAGCGCGAGGGAACGUAAAAUUACAGUAACUGAAUGGGGAUGAUGGUAGAAGAACUGGAUGAAGCACAGACCUCUUGAUGAACACGGCGAGGCCGAGAGCCUUGGGAACGGAGCGGACUGGUCUGGAGUCUCACGGAAGGAGAUCCGGCAGGAUAAAUGGAGGAGUAAAUACAGUGCAAGACGUGAGAGGACCAG
Long non-coding RNA from Pimephales promelas (fathead minnow), 723 nucleotides. RefSeq lists it as uncharacterized. The record is from RefSeq and is a predicted model, not a curated record. Lineage: Eukaryota; Metazoa; Chordata; Actinopteri; Cypriniformes; Leuciscidae.